RNAcentral lists this long non-coding RNA (1737 nucleotides) under Taeniopygia guttata (zebra finch). RNAcentral's name for it is "lncRNA (ENSTGUG00000027324.1)". The record is from RNAcentral. Lineage: Eukaryota; Metazoa; Chordata; Aves; Passeriformes; Estrildidae.
AGGGUUGGGCUGUGUGGGGAGGACUGGCACUGGAAGGCAGCAUUGCACCAACAGCCAGUGCUGCUCCUCGGGGUAAUACCAAAUUAUUGACAGUUUCAACAGUAAUAGCAAAGAUUUCUUUGCUUGUGUCGUGGUGCAGAGACAGGAGCAGAGUCACUCCUGGGAGCUGUGGUGAUUGAACUGCCCCAUGACAGCUGAUCUGCAGCAGUGUUACUGAUUUGUUUUAUUUCUAAAGUCUUUCUAGAUUGAUAGCACUUAACCACCCUCAGUGCAGCCCUCGCUGUGGAGGAGCCCAGGGCAGCCCCUCCACUCCGUAUUUAUUUCUGCCAAGCUGGCUGUAGGUGUAGCUCUUCCUUCAGUGGGUGAGUAGGCAAAGGGGUGGGUGGGGGUGGGAGUUACUUCUGUUCUGUGUUUUGUUAAGCUUGCAUCAAGGGCUUUUCAAGAGUACAAUAAUAAAUCCUCAGGUAGUACUGGGAAUCGAUCCUUUACCUGUGAGACUGUUGGUCAGACCAGUACUUGAAAGGAGGAAUGUUGUAAUCAGUCGAUAUUUAGUUAUAUUAUUGGAAACAGGAAAAAUGAGUAUAGAAAAAUGGUAAUAUAUAAUGGCUCAUCUGUGUAUUUAAGAUACAUUCUGUGAUUGCUUUGUCCCCACUGUUCUCUGCAGCGUGGGCAGGACCCUGCCCUGAGGCACCAUUCGUACCCCUUUGUAUUAAAGUGCAUGAGAAGUCUGCGGUGUCCCGAUGAAACACCACGUGCUUGAAAGGUGACAGAACUUAUAUUCCUGCUUCCUGAUGUGCCCAAACGAUAUUUGCAUGACCUGAUCCUUAGUGGCUGUGGUUCAGAGGGUGUUGCUGAGUCUCUCUGUUCAGCACUGGACCGAUUGGUGUUUAUCAGAGCCCGUGUACUCGCCUAAUCCUUGGCAUGACUUCCCGUGGGAUCCCGUGUGCUCCGUGUGCCCGGUGGUAGCAUGUUCCUUUCAGCUGAGUGAGUGUAGUACAGACAUUCCAGAGAGCUCAGGCAGCCCUGCCACACCUCCCCUGGCCCUGGCACACCUGGGGAAGGAAACAAACCAAACCCACCUCUGGCCACCUUCCCAAGAGGGGAUAUUUUAAAUCCUAGGGCUGGCAGAAAAAGAAAGGAUCUUUCCUUUGAAUACAGAGUUAUUCCAUUGCAAAUGAUUCUACCCAAAGUUCCUGCGGAUGAGAGAAGAGCUUUGAGCAGCCUCUUGGUGCCUGUUUCUCCCCUGUGUUCCAGGCCCUGACCCUGGCUGGGACACAGUGACUGUGCCCAGAGCCCAGGGAGGUGUGGGCAGGGCUGGGAGUGCUGAGCUGUGCCCAUUUGUUUGCUGUCCUGUACUGUCUGUGGUAGUUGGGGGGUGUAUAUACCGUAGCACAGUGGGGUGUUGGGUAACCUGUUCUUGGAAAUGGACAAACAUCCAUGUUAGACUCGUUAGAAAGUUAGUGAGCUGCUCUGCUAUCUGCCUUAAGCAAAUAUUUACUCAUCAGGUCUUUCUUUUUUACAGAUUGCCAUAGAAUAAACUUUUAUAAAAAAAAUGUAAAAACUCAACAAAAAAGCUGAAUGUUUUGGUAUAAUACAGUUUCAGGUAUCUUGUCUUUUGUGUAAGCCGCUGCUGGGCCUCCCAGGUUAGAGUACAACUGUACAGUUUUUCAAUCUCCCAUACAAGUUUUCAGUUCUCAUUUUAGUUGUAACAAUAAAACUCUUUUUUUAAAGAACUCA